GGCUGUCAGUGUCCAGCAUCUGUGAAAGCGGGGAUCCUCCAAGCCAGGGCUAGGGUGUGAUUUAUUCUGCAGUUGACUCCACAGGCUGCAGGUGGCAUUGGCCUGUAGAUGCGAGACUUUAUGGUGCUGUGUGGCCUCAGGAGCUCACCAGACCAGACCCUCUGGGCCUCAGGCCACUCUGAGGCUGCACCCAAGGAGGAAUCAGUAGGGACAGAGGGUCAGCAGUAGCGUGCAGGGUUGGUGGCAGCUGCACGGUGGUGGCGGUGAUGGUGAGAGGUCUGGGGCAGGGGCUGCAGGCCAGGUCCCAGCGUGAGAUUACUGUCGGCCACCAGCCCAUGGAGCAGAUGUCGUCUCUCCAGCCACUGUAGCAACUC
RNAcentral lists this long non-coding RNA (374 nucleotides) under Homo sapiens (human). RNAcentral's name for it is "HSALNT0256692". Lineage: Eukaryota; Metazoa; Chordata; Mammalia; Primates; Hominidae. The record is from RNAcentral.